GAUGAACGCUGGCGGCGUGCCUAAUACAUGCAAGUCGAGCGAACAGACGAGGAGCUUGCUCCUCUGACGUUAGCGGCGGACGGGUGAGUAACACGUGGAUAACCUACCUAUAAGACUGGGAUAACUUCGGGAAACCGGAGCUAAUACCGGAUAAUAUAUUGAACCGCAUGGUUCAAUAGUGAAAGACGGUUUUGCUGUCACUUAUAGAUGGAUCCGCGCCGCAUUAGCUAGUUGGUAAGGUAACGGCUUACCAAGGCGACGAUGCGUAGCCGACCUGAGAGGGUGCUCGCCCACACGAGAACGGAGACACGGCCCAGACUCCGACGGGAGGCAGCAGUGGGGAAUCUUCGGCAAUGGGCGAAAGCAUGACGAAGAAACGCCGGGGGUGGGAAGAAGGUCUUGGGUGUGUAAAACUCUUUUAUGGGGAAAGAAAAACUGUAUAAUAACAAAUGCCGUUCUUGACGGUACCUAAUAAAAAAGCACCGGCUAACUCCGUG
RNAcentral lists this ribosomal RNA (497 nucleotides) under uncultured bacterium. RNAcentral's name for it is "partial 16S ribosomal RNA". It matches the Rfam family "Bacterial small subunit ribosomal RNA", at positions 28 to 507 of the family's 1533-position model. The record is from RNAcentral.